AUGUUCAGGCACGCGCUGCAUGCUGUUGCAUCUUUCAGAGAGGAGGAGAUAGCAGCCAGAGUGGAGUACUUGAGGAUCACGUUCAGGUGGACGGAUGAUGAGGUGGGCUUUGCUGUUUCUAGGGCUCCAAUGGUGCUGACGAGGGCUAAGGAAUCGCUGCAGCGCACGUCCGAGCUCCUCAUCUCCGAGGUGGGGUUGGAACCGGCAUACAUUGCUCAUCGGCCGACACUGCUCACUUUCAGCCUGAAGGGCCGGCUAAGGGCCCGACACUAUGUUGUAAAGUUUCUUAAGGAAAAUGGAUUGCUAGGUCGCAACCGGGAUUACUAUUCCGCAGUCAAGAUAACCGAGAAGGAAUUUGUGGAGAAGUUCAUAUGCCCUCACAAGGAAGGUGCACCACACCUGGCUGAUGAUUAUGCGGCAGCCUGCAAAGAUGAAGUGCCGACUAGAUUCAGAUUUAUAUGA
RNAcentral lists this ribosomal RNA (462 nucleotides) under Triticum aestivum (bread wheat). RNAcentral describes it as "partial small subunit ribosomal RNA". Lineage: Eukaryota; Viridiplantae; Streptophyta; Magnoliopsida; Poales; Poaceae. The record is from RNAcentral.